AAAUGCAAAACCAAAACCCUACUUGAACCCUUGGUCUUCCCUCCCCAGCUAUACUCUCAUUUCCAAAAGAAACAGAGGAAGCUGCAGCCUGAACAAUGCAAUUCCUCUUCCGCUCCCUCCCUAAACCCCGGCACCAACGUCACUGCCGCAGCCUCGUCGACUUUGCGGCCAUCAAGCACGUCAGAGACAGGGGCUUAGACCAUGCCGUUGAGCGAGAAAAGCACUUAAAGCCAGUGCUUUCAAUCAAGAACUUAAUAAAAUCAGAGCCAUCAAAAUCACUCCCUAUCUCCACAAUCACUCAACAAAAAGACUUCCUCAAAAUACCGAUACGGCCAAUAGAGUUAAUUAGAAGAUACCCUUCAGUCUUUGAAGAAUUUCUGCCUGGUGGCAUUGGAAUCCAUCCUCAUGUCAAGUUAACACAACAGGUACUUGACCUUGAUAUUGAAGAACAGUUAGUUUAUCAAAGUGAGAGUUAUAAGAAUGAUGUUGCUAAUAGGCUUUUAAAGUUGUUAAUGAUUUCAAGAAUUGAUAAAAUUCCAUUAAAGCUUCUUGAUUUUUUAUUAUGGGAUUUGGGUUUGCCUCAAGAUUGUGUCAAGACUUUGGUUCCUGAAUUCCCUGAUUAUUUUAGAGUUCUCGGGGAUAAGAAUUUGUCGCCUUGGUCGGGUUCGGAUUUGGGGUUGGAGUUGGUUUGCUGGAGUAAUGGACUGGCUGUUUCAGUUAUGGAAAAGAAGGCAAAAAGUAGAGAAACUGGUUAUGUUAAAGGGAUGCCUAUAGAGUUUCCAAUGCAGUUUUCGAAGGGUUUUGAAAUGGAUAAGAGGUUGAAGCAGUGGAUUAGUGACUGGCAAAAGUUGCCUUAUGUUUCUCCCUAUGAGAAUGCUAUGCAUCUUGGGCCUAAUACUGAUGAAUCAGAUAGGUGGGUGGUGGGUGUGUUGCAUGAGGUACUUAAUCUUUCUGUUUCGAAGAAAGUGGAGAAGGACACUUUGUUGUGUUUGGGAGAGUGGCUGGGGAUCCGGUCGAGGUUUAAGAGAGCAUUGCUACACCACCCUGGGAUAUUUUAUUUGUCGAAUAAGAUAGGGACUUAUACUGUUGUUUUGAAGGAGGGAUAUAAAAGGGGAUUGUUAGUUGAGAAGAAUCCAGUGGUGGAUAUUAGGAAUCAGUAUAUUCAUCUUAUGCACACGGUUGUCGAAGAACGUAAAUCAAUCACUGUACAUGGAGGAAGCCAACAACAAGAAAAGAAGACUGAUGGCAAAUCUGAAGGGCAAGGAGAAAAACAAGAUGCUGAUGAUUGUGUGGAAGUGACUGAUGCGGGUUCUGAUUUUGAGGAUGAUAGUGAAGAUGGGUACGAGUAUAAUGAGGAGGAGGAAGGUGAGAGUAGAAAAAAUGCUCAUAGAAAUGCCCCAACCAACAGGGGAAGAGCAGACAGGAAUAAGAAUUUGGAUGUGAGGGGGAACUUAAAGUAUGCUAGAAGAGAAAGGGGGGUUGAGAAACACCAUGGUAAGACAAGGGAUAAAGCUGUACAAAAUGACGACUAUAAGUACAAUGAUGAUGAUGAAGAGGAAGGUGAGAGUAGGACACAUGGUCGUACAAAAACUCCUAGCGAAAGAACAGAUGAGAAUAAGAAUUUAUUUGCGAGGGGGCGUUCAAGAAAUGUUAGAAGAGAAAGGCAGGUCGAGAGACACCACGGUAAGACAAGGGAUAAAGUUGUACCAAAAGAUGAUUAUAAGUACAACGAUGAUGAGGAGGAAGGUGAAAUUAGGACACAUGCUCGUACCAAAUCCCCAAGGGGAAGAGCAGAUGAGAAUAAGAAUUUAGAUGUGAGGGGGCGUUCAAGAAAUGUUAGAAGAGAACGGGUGUGCGAGAAACACCACGGUAAAACAAGGGAUAAAGUUGUAUCAAAAGAUGAUUAUAUGUACAAUGAUGAUGGCGGGGAGGAAGGAGAGGGUAAGAGACAUGCUCAUAGAAAUGCCCCACGCAGGAGAGGAAGAGUAGAUAAGAAGAAUAAUUUUGAUUCAAGGGAGGAUGCAAAUGCUGGAAGAGAUAGAGGGAUUGAAAAGCGCCAUUUCAAGACCAAGGAUAAAUUUCGACCGAAAGGUUCUAUCAUAAAAGGAAUGAGUAGAGGGUACAAUUUCCACGAAAGGUCACAAGAGUGAUCAGCUUCGCCUAAGAAAAAGAAGGAAUCGUUGACAGCCAAGAGGACUGCUACUUGAAAGAUUUAAUUAUCUGUCUAAACUAAUAAUCUGCAGGUUUCUUCGAUUCAUCAUUUUCUAUGCAAAAUUUCAAAUUCCUGGUUUCACUGUAAAGAUUAAUGAAGUAUGACAUUUGUUGCCAUUACUUUUGACCAUCAAGUCUGUUUAGAGUCUUCGAGACUUCGGAGAACAAUGGUUCUCUAGUUGCUGACCUGUCAAGAGUGUUGACAGUGGCUGUUAAAUGCUAGAUGCCUGAAGUUACUCAAAAUGAUCUUUCACUUGCCCCCCUGACUAUGCUUCAAUGUUGAGAAAGAGCGCCACUUUUACUUGGACAUCGCAAGUUUAGUCUGGUUGGAAGGCUGAAGCUGCAAAUGCAGUAAGUUGGGUUGGAGAAGUCUUUCUGCUUCUGAUUUCUAGUUUAUGUCAACAAUAUAAGAUCAUUCCUCUGGAAUCAUUAUUUAGCUUCUUUUUGGAGUUCUAUUAACACUUUAUACCUUCGACCUGUGUAUUUUGUUUGGCUUCAAAAAAUCAGUAUAAUUCAAAUGAUCAAUGCGCAUUUCGAGAUUACUUCCUCUCAUCUUCGGCAUGGUAUGCUGUAUUUGUUUCAACAAAAGUUCUGUAACCAGAUGUUCAUUUUCCUCCCAUCUUUGGCAUUUCAUCAUAGUCAAUCCUUUCCCUCCAUUUGUUUGUUGGCUGGCUAUACUGGUUUAGUUCCUGCACUUCCCCUAUGUAUUCCAUAAUCAUUGUUGUAAACAAAA
Molecule: RNA transcript, 2944 nt
Organism: Populus euphratica (Euphrates poplar)
Lineage: Eukaryota; Viridiplantae; Streptophyta; Magnoliopsida; Malpighiales; Salicaceae
Gene name: Ubiquitin carboxyl-terminal hydrolase family protein
Exons: 2
Source: RefSeq, a predicted model, not a curated record